Gadus macrocephalus (Pacific cod) is the source of this 2184-nucleotide long non-coding RNA. RefSeq lists it as uncharacterized. NCBI's taxonomy places the organism in Eukaryota, Metazoa, Chordata, Actinopteri, Gadiformes, Gadidae. The transcript is spliced from 2 exons. The record is from RefSeq and is a predicted model, not a curated record.
AUAUAUACAUACACACACACACACACACACACACACACACACACACACACACACACACACACAGAGAUGCACCCUAGGCGUGUCUGCUGUAGAGGAGAAGGGAGAUAGGAAAGAGGAGAGAGGAGGGAGGGUGCAUCUGUUACGGACCAUGACACUGAAAAUAUGAGUUGAUGUAGAAUAGGUGAUGCAGAGAGAGAGAGAGGGGGGGGGGGAGAGAGCGAUGAAGAGGAAAUGAGAGAGUGGGAGACAAAGAGUUCAGCUUGCUAAGCCCCAACAUCACAGCCCAGCUGACUUCUCCUCUCAGUCUUUUGAAAGGCACUAGAUCACAUAGAAUGUGCCUUUAAUCCCCAGCCUGACUCACAGGAGUUCAGAAAUGGAUUUAGAUGUCUUCGAGGGCUGCACCAUUAUGACAAAAAUAAUAAUUAUUAUUUUGCCAGAUAUUUGUGAUUUUGGUUCAUUGUGAAGAGCAGAUUUUCAAUUAAAUAAAUAAUCAGUUGCUAUUGUAUGCAAAUAUUAUAAUAAUGAAGCAAUUGCUUAGUUGUAACAGUUUACAAAGUCAUUUACGGCCAUACAAAAACAAAUUUCUAAUUAUUAUUUUAUCCAAAUUGCGACCUUUCACAAUUUCUUAAUUGCAGAGCCCAAAUAUGCAAUUUAUUAUUAAACCCAACUGCCAUUCACAUCAGAUGAAUCACCAAUACAUUCUUGAACUAAUCUCUGUGUUAUGUAUUUCCUUUGAGAUGUAGAUCUGUGUUUUAAUGUAGGAUAUGUAGCAUGACGUUACCUUAAACGAUGCAAAUAGGUGCACACCAGUAUCCCUGUCUCUGUCUUUGUCUGUUCUGUGCAUCGUCACAGAGAAGCAUCGUUAGAGGAGAUGAGAGGAGAGGGAGGUAGAGGAGAGGAGAGGAAGCUAGAGGAGAGGAGAGGAGAGGAGAGGAGAAGAGAGCAGAGGAGAGGAAGGUAGAGGAGAGGAGAGGAGAGGAGAGGAAGGUAGAGGAGAAGAGAGGAAGGUAGAGGAGAGGAGAGGGGAGAGGAGAGGAGAGGAAGCUAGAGGAGAGGAAGGUAGAGGAGAGGAAGGUAGAGGAGAGGAGAGGGGAGAGGAGAGGAGAGGAGAGGAGGAAUAUAAGAGAGAGGAAACAAGAAAAUAAUGUAUUGUAUUAUUUUACCAUUUUUAGAAGUGUAUAUAAUCGUCUCCUCUCUAGAGACAAUAAUAAUCCUAUAAUAAUACAAUUUGGUCAUUAUUUUCUUGUAGGAGGAGGAGGAUAAGGGAGAUCGAAAGAAAAGGAAUGGGAGAGGAUGGGAGAAGGGGGAAUCCGUGGUUAAACUGGAGAUGUCGUGAUAGUAGUGGUGGAGAUCGGAGGAGAGGAAACAAGGAGAAGGCAGACGAGGAGGGAGGAGAUGUAGGGGAACAGAGCGACGUGAAAGGGAACCUUGGGGCGCAAAUGAAUCUCGUAUUGACACCCUCUUCUGCACACAAACGUAUUCACACAUGCAAUGACGUAACCCUGCACGUACAUGUGUGUGCGUGCGUCGAUGCAUGCAGCCAUACUCCCCUCUACUAUAUGCGCCUUUGUGUGUGUGUGUGUGUGUGUCUAUGCAUUUCCUGUGUGUGUGUGUGUGUGUGUGUGUGUGUGUGUGUGUGUGUGGGUAUUGGCUGUGAUCGACUGGCGUGGCUUGGUGAGGCACGGUGUGUAGAUCCAUCCCUCUUUCUGAGUGCUCUCUGAAAUAGCCUCAGUCACCAGAGAGUAAGAGAGAUAGACCUGUGUGUGCGUGCGUGCAUGUGUGCGUGAGUUUUCUCUGUGUUAGAGAGGUGGAAGGGAGCAAAAGGGAGGAGACUAGCAAGGGUGGGGUGAACAAAUGUAGAGGAGAGAGAGAGAGAGAGAGAGAGAGAGAGAGAGAGAGAGAGAGAGAGAGAGAGAGAGAGAGAGAGAGAGAGAGAGAGAGAGAGAGAGAGAGAGGAGAGAGGAGAGAGAGAGAGAGAGAGAGAUGAGAGAGAGAGAGAGAGAGAGAGAGAGAGAGAGGGGGGGGGCUGUGUUACUAGAGGGAGUGGCAGAGUGAGAAGAGGCGAUACAGAGAGAGAGAGAGAGAGAGAGAAGACACGGCUCCGGUAGCUCAGUCGUUGUUGAUCGUCGGAUAAAGCAGACAUUGCAGUGGGAGCAGCGGCAAGCGAAGGGAAACCAAGAGAGA